Molecule: ribosomal RNA, 464 nt
Filed under: uncultured bacterium
Lineage: Bacteria
Description: partial 16S ribosomal RNA
Rfam family: Bacterial small subunit ribosomal RNA
Source: RNAcentral
CUACGGGCGGCUGCAGUGGGGAAUAUUGCACAAUGAGCGAAAGCUUGAUGCAGCCAUACCGCGUGUGUGAAGAAGGCCCGAGGGUUGUAAAGCACUUUCAAUUGGGAGGAAGGUUAAGUAGUUAAUACCUGCUUAAUUUGACGUUACCUUUAGAAGAAGCACCGGCUAACUCUGUGCCAGCAGCCGCGGUAAUACAGAGGGUGCAAGCGUUAUUCGGAAUUACUGGGCGUAAAGCGCGCGUAGGCGGAUUAUUAAGUCAGUUGUGAAAGCCCUGGGCUCAACCUGGGAACUGCAUCUGAUACUGGUAGUCUAGAGUUUAAGAGAGGGAAGUGGAAUUCCAGGUGUAGCAGUGAAAUGCGUAGAUAUCUGGAGGAACAUCAGUGGCGAAGGCGACUUCCUGGCUUAAAACUGACGCUGAGGUGCGAAAGCGUGGGUAGCGAACGGGAUUAGAUACCCCUGUAGUC